AGCAGCCGCGGUAACUCCAGCUCCAAUAGCGUAUAUUAAAGUUGUUGCAGUUAAAAAGCUCGUAGUCGAACUUCAGGCCUGUCCAGACGGUCCGCCUUAAUUGGUGUGUACUGUCCUUGGGUGGGUCCUACCUUCUGGCGAAGCGGCAUGGCCUUAAUUGGUUGUGUCGGGGAACCAGGACUUUUACUGUGAAGAAAUUAGAGUGUUCAAAGCAGGCAAAUAUGCUCGAAUACAUUAGCAUGGAAUAAUGGAAUAGGACGAUGGUUCUAUUUUGUUGGUUCUAGGACCGUUGUAAUGAUUAAUAGGGAUAGUUGGGGGCAUUAGUAUUCAAUUGUCAGAGGUGAAAUUCUUGGAUUUAUUGAAGACUAACUACUGCGAAAGCAUUUGCCAAGGAUGUUUUCAUUAAUCAAGAACGAAAGUUAGGGGAUCGAAGACGAUCAGGUACCGUCGUAGUCUUAACCAUAAACUAUGCCGACUAGGAAUCGGGCGAUGUUGAAAAAUGACUCGCUCGGCACCUC
RNAcentral lists this ribosomal RNA (518 nucleotides) under uncultured Paraglomus. RNAcentral's name for it is "bacterial SSU rRNA". It matches the Rfam family "Eukaryotic small subunit ribosomal RNA", at positions 569 to 1089 of the family's 1831-position model. Lineage: Eukaryota; Fungi; Glomeromycota; Glomeromycetes; Paraglomerales; Paraglomeraceae. The record is from RNAcentral.